Molecule: ribosomal RNA, 478 nt
Filed under: uncultured bacterium
Lineage: Bacteria
Description: partial 16S ribosomal RNA
Rfam family: Bacterial small subunit ribosomal RNA
Source: RNAcentral
AACAAACGCUGGCGGCGUGCCUAAUACAUGCAAGUCGAACGAGGAAAGCUUUCGGGUGAGUACUAGUGGCGCACGGGUGAGGAAUACAUGGGUAAUCUGCCCUCGAGUUGGGGAUAACCAGUCGAGAGAUUGGCUAAUACCGAAUAAGACCACAGGAUCUGCGGAUCUAGGGGUUAAAGGUUUUUCGCUUGAGGAUGAGCCCAUGCGGGAUUAGCUAGUUGGUGAGGUAAUGGCUCACCAAGGCUACGAUCCCUAACUGGUCUUAGAGGAUGAUCAGUCACACUGGAACUGAGACACGGUCCAGACUCCUACGGGAGGCAGCAGUAGGGAAUAUUGCACAAUGGGGGAAACCCUGAUGCAGCGACGCCGCGUGAGUGAUGAAGGCCUUCGGGUCGUAAAGCUCUGUCGUAUGGGACUAACACAAUGAAGGUACCAUGCAAGAAAGGAUCGGCUAACUUCGUGCCAGCCGCCGCGGUAA